ACUUAGCUGAUUUCUUCGGAAUGAAAUUAAGUGGAUUAGUGGCGAACGGGUGAGUAACACGUGAGUAACCUGCCUUACACAAGGGGAUAGCCUUUGGAAACGAAGAAUAAUACCCUAUAAAGUCAAUUUAUCGCAUGAUAGAGUGACCAAAGAUUUAUCGGUGUAAGAUGGACUUGCGUCUGAUUAGCUAGUUGGUGAGAUAAAAGCCCACCAAGGCGACGAUCAGUAGCCGGCUUGAGAGAGUGUACGGCCACAUUGGGACUGAGACACGGCCCAAACUCCUACGGGAGGCAGCAGUGGGGAAUUUUGCACAAUGGGGGAAACCCUGAUGCAGCGACGCCGCGUGAUUUAGAAGGCCUUCGGGUUGUAAAAAUCUUUUUUAUGGGAUGAAAAUGACAGUACCAUAAGAAUAAGGUCCGGCUAAAUACGUGCCAGCAGCCGCGGUAAUACGUAUGGAUCGAGCGUUGUCCGGAAUCAUUGGGCGUAAAGGGUACGUAGGCGGCCUAGUAAGUUAGAAGUGAAAUAAUAUAGCUCAACUAUAUAAAGCUUUUAAAACUGUUAGGCUUGAGAGAUGAAAGGGAAAGUGGAAUUCCUAGUGUAGCGGUGAAAUGCGCAGAUAUUAGGAAGAAUACCGGUGGCGAAGGCGACUU
Molecule: ribosomal RNA, 650 nt
Filed under: uncultured Clostridium sp.
Lineage: Bacteria; Bacillati; Bacillota; Clostridia; Eubacteriales; Clostridiaceae
Description: bacterial SSU rRNA
Rfam family: Bacterial small subunit ribosomal RNA
Source: RNAcentral